Molecule: ribosomal RNA, 253 nt
Filed under: uncultured bacterium
Lineage: Bacteria
Description: partial 16S ribosomal RNA
Rfam family: Bacterial small subunit ribosomal RNA
Source: RNAcentral
UACGUAGGGUGCGAGCGUUGCCCGGAUUUAUUGGGCGUAAAGAGCGCGCAGGCGGUCGUGCAAGUCGCGUGUGAAAGCCCCCGGCUCAACUGGGGAGGGUCACGCGAUACUGCUCGACUCGAAGGCAGGAGAGGGAAGUGGAAUUCCCGGUGUAGUGGUGAAAUGCGUAGAUAUCGGGAGGAACACCAGUGGCGAAGGCGACUUCCUGGCCUGUUCUUGACGCUGAGGCGCGAAAGCUAGGGUAGCAAACGGG